This 407-nucleotide long non-coding RNA is filed under the name Rattus norvegicus (Norway rat). RNAcentral describes it as "long non-coding RNA NONRATT027511". The record is from RNAcentral. Lineage: Eukaryota; Metazoa; Chordata; Mammalia; Rodentia; Muridae.
AGGAGGCCCAUGGAGGUAGGAAGUCAAGCCAGAGGUAUCAUUGUCUGCGGAGAUGGGGGGUAGAGGAGCCACACGGCCCUGGGGAUGAAAGCAACCUUACUGAAUGGAAGGCUACACUCCUCUCUCCCUCUCAAAUUUGCAUCAAUAAUCUGGAGAUCUCUGUUGUGUUUACCAUGGUGGCGUCUGGCUGAUCAGACAUUUUUGACCAAGUUGUGGGCUCCUGGGAUCCUCUAGCCCCUCCCCUCUUACUUUUUGUCCCAGGAACCCGAGACCUGCAGGCCGCAUUCGACACCGGCACGGCUCACCCCAUCCAAGCCGCAGAACUGUGCCCGCCGUGGCCACCUGAUUCCCAGCUGUGUGUCCUCCAGGGCACCAGCGAUGUGCUCCUCGCCCCGUGUGCCCCGCCC